UUCUCUUUUACUGCUUCCAAAUGAGUCUAAGACUUCAGACACUGAAAAUCUAGAGAUUCAUUUAGCGUUCGUGCUUAUCAUUGAGAAUUAUAAAAUAAAUUAGUUAUGAUAAUACUAAAGAAAAAAUUCAACUGAAUUUUAAAUAAUAUUUGAUGAAAACUUUGGAAUAGUUAGUUAAUAAGUUAUUUUUUAAAAAGUGAAUUUAGUGAAAAAUAUUUUUAUAGUGAUUUUCUUGUAUUCCUUACAGAAGUUUCGAAACAUGAUUUCAAUAAAAAUGUAUCAUGUAUCUAAUAUAUGAAAUUAAUGGUUCGAAGGAUUCUAAAAAUAUUCAAGCUCUCUGUAAAUUGAUACAUUGAUUCUUAUGUAUUAACAAAGAAAUACGAAGAACUACAAAAUCUUGAAUAAGUUGGCUAUAAAGAUAUACAUGAUGCUUGGAUCAAUGGUAAAAUAGCCAUUAAAAAAGGAUUUGAAUACAUGGAUUUUUAUUUUUAAAAAAUUAAUAAAAAAAUUCAUUUAUUAAAAUAUAUAACUAAAAAUAAAAUUCAAAAACAUAACGAUAUCUUAGAAUGGUCUUAAUCGUACAAUUAAACAAAAGGAUAUUCUACAAACAAAUGUCCCUCUCUGAUUUCUACAGAUUUGUAUUAAAUAUAUUUUAUCAUCGUAUAAGAUUUUCUCAUUUUCGCGCAGAAUGGAUAGUGCGCGAGGAGGUGCUGCACUCUUCUGCAAAGUGAUCGAAGUCAUCGCCGCUAAUAUGCGGCACUUCAGUCUACUUCCAGAAUGUUAUCUCACGUGCCUAAGUUCAAGAGGUAAUAAUAAUACUGAAAUAACCGAGUCGUCAAAGUUCUCAUCGAAAUCCAAUCCAUUUGAAAAUUCUCUAUCGUCAGUACCUUUCUGAAGUAUUGGAGAUAUCACCUAAAAGAUGCUUCAUUGAGAAGGAGGACAACAAUAUUGAUACGAUUAAUAUCUGAUAAGCGAAAGAAAAUGCGUAUUCGUAACUAUCGCUACGAUAGAGCGUCUCAAAAAUUUUAAAUAAGAAAAAUAAAAUUCAUAAAGACUCGAUAGAUGUCAUGAGAAAUCAUUUUAUGGGUAGAUUUAUCGUUGAAUUAAAAUGGAUAACAAAUAUGGGGUUAUAUUGUUGGCAAACUUAAAAGAAUAUUGGUCAAGGAAUAAUGUUAAUUACAUUCUUUUUUUAUUCAAACACAUUCACAGAGACAUGGAUUUUUUGGGUGCUUCAUUUAGAAACAAUUUCAAUAUAUUUCAAUACAUAAAAAAGCGUUAUAUGUAUGAUUAUAAAGUUGCUUUCUUGAUUAUAUAAAUUCAAAAUUUUUGAAUUUUUGAAUUAUGCACUGGAAGAUUAUGAUUUAACAAAAUCAACUAUGAUUUAAAGACCAAAUGAGGAGAAUUAGAAUUUACACGAUAGCAGAUUCAAAUGCUAUGUUUAUGAUAUUAUGGAGCUUUCACAACAGAGAAAUUAAAAGACCUUCGAUAUCAAUCAGAAUUAUAUCUUUACAAAAUGUUGUUGGAUAAAAUUUUUAAUGUUUAAAAACAUUUGUUCUUGUUGAUAUAUUUAUGGAUCAGUAUUAUACAAGCUAUUGUGGCUGAAUUAUUCAAAUUGAAACGUCAUUCAAUUGGGACGAUCUUAACAAAUAGGAAAGAAUUACUAAAUCUGAUAAAAAAAGAAAAAAAAAUUUCAAAACAAUCCAUGAUAGCAUUAAAACAAUUCAAGGAAAUCAAUUAAUUGGAAAAUAUAAUGAAAAAAUAAAUCACAAAGGAUCAACGACAUUUUUUCCCAAUAUCAAUAAACUAUUAGAAGAAAAGAGAUCAAUCAACAUACUCAAUAUGCACAACCAAAAAAGUGUUUUGAGGUAAAUAGAAUUGAUAAGGAAUACAGAAUAUGUGUACAGAAUAUAUGAGAAUACAUAAUAGUAUUUUCCUAUUCAUGCGAAAAAAAAUUAAAUUAUAAUAUAUUAGGUAUGCAAAUAAAUUCCUCCCUCCUUCUUUUUACGAUUUUUAAUUUUCGACUGAAUUCGAAUCACUUCUUGUUUGUGGUGAAAAAGCGUCUUUUUUUUUAAAAAGAGUUGUGAUAAGUUUCCAAUCUUAUGCAAUAAUUUCAAGAGAUAUGGCGUGCGAAAAGCAUCGUCCGCGUUACUGCUUACUUUUUCCAUUCCAACUUAAAAAAUCAGCUAUUGAAGCUACUGAAAUGAUUUAGCACUAAGAGAGAACGCUGAACGUCUUAUAGAACAUGCAAAAAAUGAUAUCAAAGAUUUAAAACCGGAAAUUUUAAUUGGAAAACGAAAAUCGUUCAGAUGCAUUGAGAAAGUUUAAAAGAUUUAAAAGAAGAAUUGGCAGAAAGAUUGGGGAGUUAUAAGACGAGUAUCUAUCCAACUGAAACAAUUGGAUUUCUUUUACUCGAUUUAUAAUAAAAUUUGUUAUAAUUGAAUUUGUAGAAAAGAAAGGAGAAAGAAUUUAUUUGCACAUCUGAUAAAUAUACAGCCUUAAUAUUGUUGUUUUCUGCUCUUUUCAAACGAGAAUAUUGUAUUCAAUAAUAAACGAAUUAUAUAAUUGUAUAAAUAAUCUUAAAUUGAUAUUAAAUUAUAAUUAGUAUGUAAAUAAAAAUGUCAGGCGGAUGCAACAUUGGUAUCAGAAAUGACAGAGGAUUCUUCUUUUAAGAAAAAAAAGAAAUUCUAACACUAAUACUAAGAAGAAAGUUCGCUUUUUGUAGAAUUGAAGAUUAAUUUACAGAACUUCAUUGAGAAACAAUUCGCAGAAUAAUAUCGUUUUUGGAAGGAGAAACACUAACGAAAUCUAAGAAAGAACCAAAAAUAAAUAAACGGAUCAUUCGUCUCAAUGAUUAAAUCCGACAAAUGCCUGUUUUCUAUUGUUCAUAACAAUUUUAGAAUAUUUAAACAACUGAUUGAAAUGAGACAGACAACUAUCUCUGAACAAAAUAAAAGAAAGAAAAAUGAAGAAGAAAGUAAUAAAGCUACAUAUUGAUAAAAGAAAAUUUCCAUAAAAAUUGUUAUAAAAAGAAGAAGAAAAAAAAAGAAAAAGAAGAAUUUUUGGCUUCGAUUCCUUAUUGAAAACGAACCCAUCUUUAAAUUUAUUGGUCGUCGAGAGAAUCAAUAAGAAAAUUAAAAUAAUUAUUUUCACGGACUCAAAUUUAAAUCUAUUAAAAGCGGAUCAUGCUUUUCGAUUUUGGCGUGAGAAGAUUAGGAUCGAAAAUGUUUUUUCGAUUUUUGUAGAAACGUUACGAAAUUAUGAUGUAUUUUUAUUAUUAAAAGUAGAAAAUUUCAAAACUAAAAAAAGGUUCCCAUUAGUCAACACGAAAAAGGAUUGUCUUUUAGAUAUUAAUUUUCUUAAGAAACGUAAAUGUUAAUUAGAUUUUAGUCGAAAAUGUAUAAUAUUUAUUGAUGGAAAAAAGAAUUAUUUUCUAAAGAAAGAAAAAGAAGAAAGAAAGACGAAUAUAAAAGAAAAAAUUUCUAAAUAUUUACAGAAGAAAAAAGUUGAGAAUGCAAUAUUAUUUAGCAUUAAAUUAACAUUGAAAAUCGUUGGCCCAUUAAACAUCGCGCCGAUUUGAAUGAAUUAUUAACUCUUUGGGCUUCAAUGAAUUUGACACUUGAAUUUGAAUGACGAAUAAAUUUAUUUAUGUUUGAUUUUCUAAAAAUAUUGUUUCAUGAAUAGAUUUCUUAUAAUUGUAUAAUCUUAUAAAAUAUAGAAUAAUAUAAAAUAGUCAAAUGGCUAGAUUCUUUUGGCGUUAGUCCGAAUUUGACAAUGGUGGCAAUAUUUUAAAGUUUUUGAGUUUUAUAAAUAUAGAAUAUGGUAAUGAAAUUUGUAGAGAAAAGUUCAUAAAGUGAAGAUGAGUUUAAUUUUUCGUUAUUGAAUAAUAAAAUUAUUUCUAUUCGUUAAGAAAUUGACGAUAGAGAAGAGAAAAAUAGCGAUGAAAAUAGAGAUGUAGUAAGAGAAAGUGAAAAAUAAGAAUAAUAGACAAUGAAUAUGAGAGCAUUAUUGGGAUUGUUUGUUCUCAAUGAAAUAAAAAAAGUGAAAGACAUCAAAUGACAUUUUAUUGUGAUACUUGUUUUGACAAACUGAGCAUGCAUAUUGUUGAUUUCCAAAGUGGAUACUAGUAAAUUUCGAUGGAUGAGAAAGAUUAAGAGAAAAUUGCCUUUUGCGUAGGAAUUAUGAUUUAUUUAUGAAAUCAUAAAAAAUGCAUUUUUGUAAAAGAAAUAAGAUUUGGAAUAUAUAGUUGCGAAUUGGAAUAAAAACAAAUGAAACAAGAUUAAAACUAUUCAGAAAUGGAAAAUUCUAAAAAAUAUUUUCCAAUCAAAAAAUUUCUUGAGACUUAUUACAAGAAAUUAGAAUUUUUGUUAAUUUUUUUGUAAAAAAUUGAUUGCAAAAUUUUUACAUCGUUUGAUUGAAGACUUAAUAUAGUUUAACUACUUAUUGUCAAGAAUUGAAGAUAAAAUUGUUUUAAUGUAUUCAAAAAAUGGAAAAUUUAUUUUGGAUAUAUCAAAUUUUGCAAUCUUAAAGUGCUCCUCAAAAGCAAGAAGGAUAGAAAGAAGUCAUCGUCUAUUUCUUAAAAAGAUUGGCAAAAGAUUAUUACAGAGAUCAAAUAUAUAAUUAAAAAAUUAUUAGCAAUAGUAAAGUCAGUAAAAUAUUUCCAUAAUUUUUCUUUUUUUUUUACUAGCAGAAGUUUCUGUUAAGAAUAGAUCAUGCAGUUUUACAAUGGUUUUACAAGAAUAUGAUUUUGAAAAGAUAGAGAUUAUAAUAAUGCAUAUUCAAUAUGCAAAAAAUGUUUAUGCCAGAAAACAAAAGACAGGUUCAUAGAAUCUUUUCUUUGUUUCGAACGACUUAUGAAAUUUCAAAAAUUUAAAAUUUAAAAAAGUUUAAAAAUUAUCUCAAUUGGAAGAUAAAGAAAUAAGAUUUAUUUUUAAAAAGAAAAAAUAAAAGAAAAACCAAUCUGAUACCAAGAUACAAUAAAGUUUUCAUCCGUCACAAAUAUAAUAUUGGAAAAUACGAGAUUUCCUGAAAUUAGAAUUGUUUCCAAAAAUAAAAAUCGAAAAAUGGCGAAAAGCUGAUUUGGCUGCUAGUAGUAUCUCAAAAAAACACUUUGGAGUAAAUAAAACAUUAGCAAAGAUACGAAAAUAAUUUUAUUUUUUGACAAUAUAUAGAAAAUUGAUGUAAUAUUUGAUUGUAAUAUUUGACGAACGAAGAAAGAAAUGAGAAUGUGGAAGAUUUAUAAUACUCGAGCACCAUUUGAAAAAGUAACACUCGAUAUUCACUCUUGAAUCGGAAAUCGAUUUUCGCUGAUUCUGAUCGACUAUUUUGUAAAAUGGCCUGAAUCAAUGCCAAUCAACAAUCUACAAUCUACAAUCGCCAAGAUUCUCUUCAAACAUCUUAUAAAUGGAUACAGAAUGCCUUUAAAGAUUCGUUUCAACCAAAAAAAUAAUUUUUCAAUUUAAAAAUUAAAUUGCUUGGAAUCAGAAUCGACUCUAUUAUAUUCCCAUUCAAAUGAACUGUCAAAAUGUCUAAUUAGAACUGUAAUAUUUGGCGAUGUUUGUUGAAGAAAAUCAAUAUAAUAAGAGGAAUGGACUUAUUUAUUUCUCUUAGCUUAACGUAUUUCAAGACAUGAAUCAACAUAAAUGUCACCAAUUGAAAUUUUGUAUGAUCAAAAGUUUGCCUAUACAUUACAUAGAAAAGAAAUCCUUUUAAUCAAGAAGAAGAGACUAAAACAUAUAUUGAAAAAAUAAAAAAAGAAUGAAAAAGAUUUAUCAAUGUGUUUUUGAUUCGCUGUUUUAGAAAUCUCUUCGAAAGUGAUAACAUGAUACGAUAGCCUUAUUUAUACCAUGAAUUUAAUCUAGGAGAGAAAGUAUGGCUUCAUCAACCAUGGCGAACGAAAGGAAAAUAUUGGAAAUUACAGAAAAUAAGAUUAGGAAGGACUCUAUACUAGAUAAUAUAAAUGAUGUAAUUUAUCACAUUUGAUUAAUCGAUUAGUAAUUAAUAUGAAAUUCGAGAAUGAAAAAGAAAAAAAGAAAAGAAAAAAAAAUUAGUUUCACGAAAUAAUUUCAAGAAGAGAACGUUUAAUAUUCUUUUUCGAAGAAUAUUAGGGCAUAUGUUAAAGUAGUUUUCUAAUUAUCAAUAAUUUCUCUUCGACUAUGAAGGAAAACUUCGAUGAGGAAGUCGAGUUCUUUUGAAAUGAUGCCUUUUUGAAGCCGGAUUCGGGGAAGUUGCAACAGAAUCCGUUCUGUAACGAUCCGUAACAGCGAAUCAAAAACAAUGUUGGUUCACGAUGAAAAUUCAAAUUUUUCUGAUAUAAGAAAUUCAUCUAGUGAAUUGAAGAUACACUUUGAAAAAGAAAUUAGUUCCUAAGAUUCAGGUUUCAACCUGAAAAGAUAUUAUGAAAAUUUAAGUGAAAGAUUAAAAUAUAGAUUCGAAUAUGAACGCAAGGAAAGAACAAAGAAUUUAGAUAUUAAUGCCUUACUUGGGAUUUUUCUCUGGAAUGAAGGAUGAAUAUCGAGAUUCGCUUCUGAAGAUUAGAUGAAUUUAUAAACCUCUUUCAGACAAGUUUCCAACUAAAAAGAAGUUGAAUGAAGUUGUUGCACUCACUUUUUUUCGAAGAGAGAGAUAUUCUUGAGAAUAUUGUAUUCUAUAUUAAACGAUUUAUCAUUGUAUAAAUUAAUAUUAAAUUAUAAUUCUAAAUUUAUCAUGGAAGAACAAAUGUUAUUAAGCCGAUACAAUAUUUAUGAAUGAAUAUUUAUUAUAUUUCUGAAAAUGCACAAAUAAUUUACAAGAACCAAGCCUUUUUGGAUACACGUUUUUAAAAAGAUGAAUCUUUUUUCUGAUUCCUUUUCUUAUAUUUGAAAAUUAUUAGCAUUAAAAUCUUUUACCAGAAUAAUAGGCUUUAUCUCGUGCUCUUAUAUAUGUUUCUUAUAGAUCUUCAAUAUAAAGUUAUAUAUUUAUAUAAAGGGUGUCCUAAAAUUCAUGCAAGAUUUGAAUUUUGUGCCAUUUGUGCGGUAAAGUGUUGCCAACGAAAAAAAAACAGCAUGGCAGCUGAUUAGUUUAGGAUUAUUAAAAAAUGGAGAUUUACACGAAAGAACAAUGCGUUUUCAUUGCUGAACAAUAUUUUAAAAAUAAUGAAGAUUUGGCAACUACAGUUUGCAAUUUUCGUACAAAAUAUAAUCGGAAUAGUAAUUUAAUUUCAUCAAUUUUAAAGAGAUUAAUUAAGGAAUUUAGGGAAACUGAAUCAAUUAGUGAUCUUAAGCACCCUGAUCGUCCUUUGACAAGUUCAACACAAAACAUUGAAGCAAUUCGUGAGAGUGUUGCUGAGAGUCCAGAGACAUUAAUUCAGCACCAUGAUCAAAAAUUGAACCUUUCAAGAAGCUCUCUAUAGCGUAUUUUCACGAAAAAUUUGCAUCUUCAUGCUUACAAGUUCAAUUGACUCAAGAACUGAAAUUUACUGAAUAGAAUUCAUUGAAUAGAUUAUGGAACAACAACAGUGAAUGCUGAUUUUUCGAACAAAAUCAUCUUUAGCGAUGAGGCUCAUUUUCAUCUUGAUAGAUUGGUUAAUCGAUAAAAUUGUCGCAUUUGGGGUUCAGAAAAUCCACGAGUGAUUGUUGAGAAAUGCAUCCACAAUGUGCCAUUGUUUGGGCUGAAGCCAUCAUUGGACUAUUCUUCAAAAAUGCGGCUGGUCAGGCAAUGAUAGUUAAUCUAUCACGAAUAAUAAUUUAGUUUUUGUGCCUAAAUUGCAAAAUAUGAAUGUGAACAACAUGUGGUUUCAACAAGACGGUGCCAUAUGCCAUACAACUCGAGAAACAAUUCAAUUACUGCACGAGUCAUUUCCUGAUCAUGUAAUUUCCCAUUUUGGUGAUCCGCCAGAACCGCCCAGAUUUAACCCCGACUUAGAUUUUUUUCAUUAGGGUUUUUUGAAGUCUAAGGUUUAUGUCCAAGAUAAGUCCACGAUUACUCAUGCCUUGAAGGAGGAAAUUGAGUGUUGUAUCAACGAAAUUCAGCCACAUUUAUGCAAAACGAUUUCAUGGAAAAUUUCAACAAAGAAAGGUUUACAGCGAUAAAUUCAACGGAUGUACUAGAUUCAAGUUAUUAAAGCCAAUUAUUCAUAUUGCGGCAUUACAUUAGCGAAUCAAAGGAGAAGCAUCCGGACUCGGUAAUCAUAACAAAUCUAUUUGAAUUCUUUUUGUACAAGGUUUCAAAACUUUAUGAAACUAUAAAACUUUUGGCACGAAGUGUAAACUAACAUUGAAGAUUGCUAGAAUUGCCAGGAUCAUAGUUUUGAAGGAAUUUGAGAUUAAAUAUUUUAUCUCCAUUUUAAAGUGUAAGUUUACAAUAUUUCUUAAUAAAGAAAUAAAGAGCUAAUCUAUUUACAGAUCAGUAUUGCUGUCUUAUUAAUUAGAGAUAAUGAAAUUUAAAAAUAAAGAUUGUCUCAUGAAACGCCAUAACAACUGAGCACAAAAGGAUAACAGAAGUUACGAAGAAUCGUAAGAUUUGUUCUCAAUGAAAUAAAAAAGUUACUAUAAAAAAUUCUUUGAACAUUCGAAAAAUCGUCUCAAGUUGUUCUGUUAAAGAAGAGUUAAUCGUUUUCUGUAUAUUCUUUAUCUUCCAAAUAUUAGAUAUUUUUUUAAUAUUUUUCAAGAAAAUAUAUCUGUACGUCCGAAUGCCAAGAAAAUUAGCAAGUUUGUUGAGUGUAGCCAACCAUGUAUCUCAUAUGGGUUGUUUAAAUUUGGCCCAAUUGACAUAUCACAUCUCUCACACGAUAUUAUAAAUUAAGGAUUAAUAAUAAUAAGAAUAGCGACAAAUCAAUAUGAAACUAGAUUCAAAUAAUUCAGGAAGCAUCACUAACAUUAAUAAAAAUUCUGAAAUCGAUUCAGCCACCAGCUAUAUAUCAAAAUUGCUGCCAAAGAGAUAACGUAUAGUUAAUUUUAACAAGGAAUCUUCAAUCGGAAAAUAUUUCUAUCUCAAAUUUCUUGGCGAUCAAAUUCGAUUCCACUUUGAGGCUGUAAAAAGCUUAGCUUCUCCGAGGCUAAGGAAUUUUCUAUAAAGGCAGGAAUCAAAUUUCACACAUAUCCACUAUUCAAAAUUGAAAAAUAUUGAAAAAUCUAUUUUCGUUAUUUUAAAAGGCCUAUCAAGUAUCAACCCUAAAAUCAUGGACGAACUUAAACCCAGAAAAGAAGAAGAAAGAAAACGAAUUUAAAUCCAGGUAGUUGUAUUUCUCCGAAAAUAACAGUUCCGAUUUGGAUUAUCUGUAUUGGAUUACAUUCAGUGUUAUAACUGUCAGGCAUUUGGUCUUGAGCAAUGCUUCAAGAACUCACACAAGGUAUCAAGUGCAGCAUAUCCCACUAGACCGUGCAGUAAACUUUCCUAUGUGGCUCCCAAAUACACUAACUGUGGUGAUGAACAUACGAUAAACUACAAUGAAUGCUCAAGAUUAUUGACAUACAUCAGGAAGAAAAUCGAAACCUUUGAAACCCACGUUAAUAAAUAUGCUCCUCUUGAAUUUACAGAACGACAGUGAAUAUGUCUGAUAACAUUUUCAUAUACACGUUAAAAUCAUAUAGCGAUGUCUCAA
Long non-coding RNA from Apis cerana (Asiatic honeybee), 9577 nucleotides. RefSeq lists it as uncharacterized. Lineage: Eukaryota; Metazoa; Arthropoda; Insecta; Hymenoptera; Apidae. The record is from RefSeq and is a predicted model, not a curated record.